Molecule: unclassified non-coding RNA, 356 nt
Filed under: Hevea brasiliensis (rubber tree)
Lineage: Eukaryota; Viridiplantae; Streptophyta; Magnoliopsida; Malpighiales; Euphorbiaceae
Source: RNAcentral
AUUCACAGAUAUAAACAAAAAUCAUAAACCCUGCAAGAUCAAGAUCCAUAUGGUGCUAUAUCUAACUCGGUUUCAGUAAUAUAUUUCUUAAAUUUUUCAAAAUCCCAAAUAACAAUUUUGCAUGGUCACAUGCACUUCUACCAUCUGCAUAUGUAUGCAUGUGAAUUUGAGCCUUCCUCGCUUGAUCAUCAUCUCUUCAUGUUAGCCUCCAACUCAGCAGAAUACUGCAGCUACCGUCACAGUUUCUAUAUAUAUGUUGAUUGCUUGAGCAGAGAAGAAUGAGCAAAGAUCGAUUGAUUGAGCACAAGGGAAUUGGUUCUUGGAUUUACAUGAAACGAUCGCCACCGUUAUCACCU